This 1384-nucleotide ribosomal RNA is filed under the name Amoebophrya sp. ex Akashiwo sanguineaum. Its description in RNAcentral is "LSU rRNA". It matches the Rfam family "Eukaryotic large subunit ribosomal RNA", at positions 1 to 1293 of the family's 3401-position model. Lineage: Eukaryota; Dinophyceae; Syndiniales; Amoebophryaceae. The record is from RNAcentral.
GAACUCAAGCAAGGCUACCCACUGAAUUUAAGCAUAUAAGUAAGUGGAGGAAAAGAAAAUGAAUAUGAUUCCGUUAGUAAGGGCGACUGAACCCGGAAAAGCUCAAAAUGCUAAUCGGGAACUUUGUUCUUGAAUUGUAGUCUUGAGAUUCUUUGCCAGCUCGACCUCCUGCGUAAGUCUUUUUGGAAGAAAGCAUCAAAGAGGGUGAGAAUCCCGUUCACGUGGAGAGGUUUGGGCAUACGGCGGGACUUCGUAGAGUCGCGUACUUUGGACGUGGUGCGCAAAAUGGGAGGUAAUUUUCUUCUAAAGCUAAAUAUUGGUUCGAGACCGAUAGCAAACAAGUACCGUGAGGGAAAGAUGAAAAGUACUUUGGAAAGAGGGUUAAAAGUGCCUGAAAUCGCUAAGAGGGAAGCGAAUGAAACCAGUUUCUUUUUGUGAGAUUGUUGGAGGCCAAGGUGAAUAUCUGUACCGCAAGGGCAGUGAUUUGAUCUGGACGUCUUCAGUGCUUCUCUCGGAGAGUCGCCAUCGUGUUUUGGGUGUUCGGUUAAUAUCUUCAUGCAUUAUAGGAUCGCUCCUGUGUUCCAUAUUGCUUGACUGAGGGCCUUACCCCGAUACAGGAAUGCGGUUGGCAUUCAAUGCGCCGUAAGCUGGUUGAAGGUUUUGCGGACUUCUAAAGUGCGUUUCUCCGAUGCUAGAUGAGGUGUAAUAGUGCUGAUCCACGACGAUGGCUAAAUGGUUUUUUUCUACCCGUCUUGAAACACGGACCAAGGAGUCGACCUCUAUCGCAAGUGUGCGGGUGGCAAACCUGUACGCGGAAUGAAAGUAACAGAUAGGAUUUUUUUGUUUUGCACUAUCGACCGACUUUUUUCUCUUGAAAGAGGUUUGAGUAUGAGCGAUAAGGGUCGGACCCGAAAGAUGGUGAACUAUGCUUGAGUAGGCUGAAGUCAGGGGAAACUCUGAUGGAGGGCCGCAGCGGUACUGACGUGCAAAUCGUUCGUCAAACUUGAGUAUAGGGGCGAAAGACUAAUCGAACCAUCUAGUAGCUGGUUCACUCCGAAGUUUCCCUCAGGAUAGCUGGAGUUUGUUAACAGUUUUGUCAGGUAAAGCGAAUGAUUAGAAGCAUUGGGGGAGCUUAUCCCUCGACUUAUUCUCAAACUUUAAAUGGGCAAGAGCCGUGGCUUACCUUACGGAAGUCUCGGGAUAAAUGGGAACUCCAAGUGGGCCAUUCUUGGUAAGCAGGACUGGCGAUGAGGGAUGAACCUAACGUUGAGUUAAGGUGCCAAAUUGCUCGCUCAUCGGAUACCACAAAGGGUGUUGGUUCAUUUUAACAGCAGGACGGUGGUCAUGGAAGUCGAAAUCCGCUAAGGAGUGUGUAACAACUCAC